CGCGCAGGCGGUCCUUUAAGUCUGAUGUGAAAGCCCACGGCUCAACCGUGGAGGGUCAUUGGAAACUGGGGGACUUGAGUGCAGAAGAGGAAAGCGGAAUUCCACGUGUAGCGGUGAAAUGCGUAGAGAUGUGGAGGAACACCAGUGGCGAAGGCGGCUUUCUGGUCUGUAACUGACGCUGAGGCGCGAAAGCGUGGGAGCAAACA
Molecule: ribosomal RNA, 206 nt
Filed under: uncultured bacterium
Lineage: Bacteria
Description: partial 16S ribosomal RNA
Rfam family: Bacterial small subunit ribosomal RNA
Source: RNAcentral